Populus nigra (black poplar) is the source of this 2802-nucleotide long non-coding RNA. RefSeq lists it as uncharacterized. The transcript has 2 exons. The record is from RefSeq and is a predicted model, not a curated record. Lineage: Eukaryota; Viridiplantae; Streptophyta; Magnoliopsida; Malpighiales; Salicaceae.
CCCUGCCAGUAUACAUUCUCUACCUCUCCCACCCCUUGCCUCCUCAUUCCAUUCCUCCCUUUCUCUCUCUGUCUCUGUCUCUCCCUGACUCCAAGUCCCUUAUAUAUGACCAUGAUCAACCUUAGACAAGUUAUUACUAUCUAUAUAUCAUCAAGAAAGAUCAUGAGUUCAUUCCCAUCUUCUUCAAUUUAUCUUUGAACCCUAGUUGAGCUGAUUGCUUCAACAUUCCAUAAAUAUCUUGAUUGAUCCAUUCCUAAUGGCCAGCUUUUGUUUCUUGAUGUUAAUCAAAUUAGCACUGCCACUCCUCUAUUAACAUUUGUCCAGCUCUUUAAUUUUCUUUUCUUGGUGCAACAAUGAUUUCUAUUUUAUUUUAUUUUUUUGCCUUUUAUUUAUUGUUUUAUGUUUUCAUGUGGUGUAAGAAUAUCGUUUCUAAAUCCCAGCUAAAUUAUAAUUGAAUAAUAGGGUUUUCUUUAAUCGAUAUAUUUUUUAUACUCGCGCGUGUUUGAUAAGUAUUAUGAAUAUAUUAAUUAUUUAUGCCUUUUAAAAGUCUAGAUUUUAUUUUUUUUGCUUUGAGAAUAAAUCUUGAUUUUAAUUGACUGAGUUCAAGGAAUAUAUAUAAAUGAUCAUGAUUUCUAGAUCCCACUUCAUGACUAUAACCACCAACAAGACCACCACCUCCACCUCUUACUCCACCGAGCCACCAUCCUUUUCCCUACCAAGAGAUAUAUAGAUACCGUAAAUGAUCAUAUUAUUGUCCUUUGACAAGUCGUAUGUGACCAUAUCUAGUGUUUCUUUAUUCAAGUACACACUUUUUUCCCUUUUGGUUGGUAAGUGGCACCAAGCCUGCAGCAGCUAGCAAGUUUGAAAAGCUAAAACCUGUUCACAUUAUAAACUUAUCGUGAUAUUGUCCGUCUUUCCCUUGCUCUUCAGCAUGCAGCGUUUCCAAGAAGAAGCUGUACCAGGAGCUAGACAAAGGUAUGUAACUCCAUUGCUCUCCUUAAUCUCAAUAGAUUAACAAGUUAGGGUUCUUCCCGAAUUUAACUUGUUUAAAUUUUUUUACAGUAUAUUUAGUAAGAUGGAAGAUAGGCACAAGGGAUUAGGUCCAAUAUCCAAGUUAUUACAAACUAGAAGAUUGAAAAAUGUGAAUAUAUAAGAGAGGAAUGAGAUUUUAUUCAUUAUUUCAAUAUUUUAUCCAAGAUACAAAGCAAAUUGAGCACCCAUUUCGCCCCUCCAAUUAGAUACAAUGAUAAGGGCUUGGGGUGAUCAUCCACUCCUCCCCACAAAAUAUACGAAGUUAAUUACUUCUAUCUGUAUGUUCAAGUUCUUAACGUAGACAGAUAGUUAACUUACCAAAAAGGAUACAUGUAGACAAUUCUCUCAACAUUGAAGUCACUUGCCAAGAACCUCGAUGGUAUAUACGAGCUUGAAUAAUAUUACAUUCAUACUUGUAUGUACUAUCAAAUCAUAGGAGAGAUGUUUGACAUUGACAUGAUGGGAUAUCAAGACAUGUUUUAAGGGAUUUGUGGUUUAAUAUUGUAUUAAGCUUAGAAUAUAACAAUGAUUCUUCUUUGUUUAGCAUCUAUUAGUAGUCCUUGAUGUCGCUUACUGGCUUCAAUUACUUAAUUGAAGAAUAUAUAGACUCAUAAGUGACCCCCCCCCCCCAACCCCUGGCCCCCAUUAAAUUAAAUUUCUAGAUUAGCUAUAGUAUCUAUCCUUCCUUCUUUUCAGCAAUCUAUUUAACUAACAGAUUAAUCUUAUUGUAGAAAUUGGAAAUGUUGGGAGCAAAAUUUCAUGUAAAUAUGAAAACAAGAACAAAAAAUAAACAUUUACUUAACAUUUCUUGAUUCUCUAUAUUGCUUCAAAAAUAUAGAACUGAUAUUGUUGUGACUGCAUUCAAUUUGAUACAAUUUAACUAAUGAGGUUGCUGUGCUUACAAAUUAAGCCGGAUCAAUAUUCUUGUGAAAAUAUUUAGAAUCGUUUUCAGAACAUGAAACAAUUUCGUUUCUAACUUCAUAAUUCUCUGCAUGCCUUGUGCUAUAUAGAUACAUGUAUUGCGCCAAAAGAAGGAAAAGGGUUGUAUAAGUUAUUUAUAGAAGGGGCCUUUUUUAUAUUAAUUAACCUUAUAUGAUUUCAUGAUUCUAGGGCAUGGAUAUAUGUACGCAUGUACCAAAUAUAUAUUGCAGUUAUCUGUAUCUAGCUAGACGUUGGUGAUGGAAUUGCUUUGACUUCUUUGUGUGAACUUCUUUUUAAAGCAGUUUUUGCAGAUCUUUUUGUAGUCUUAAAGAAAAGAGAAAGAAAUAGCAUAUUUUAUUAUCCAAAAAAAAAGAGAGAAAGAAAUAGCUGAACUUGAUAUUGUUGGAAAAAGAUAAUUGCUGUUUUCGAAAUAAUAAGCUUUUUUGCUAGACGCCAACGAGGCUUCUAAAGUGAGUUGCAUUAUUUGGUUUCUGUCGGCAGAUUGUCAUUUGUCAAUAGUGAUCACUGUUACAUUUUUCCCCCAACUUUCUAGCUACUAGUGCAAAACUUCACCCUGUUUUGGGUCCUUCCUAGCUAGCUAGCAUUAUUUUUCAAUGGCCAUUAUCUUUUGGGUUAGUUUUUGUCCAUCUAAAUACAAAUAAUUAUUGCAGAUUGAUUUCUAGAAUGAACUAUGGAGUUGUCUAGCUAGAUCCAGCAGUACAUGCUCUUUAUUGUUUCAUUUUAAGAGAUUUAAGGCCAUGAAUCAUCACCUAUAUAUUCCUUUGAUUCAACCUUAUAUUUCUUGGAUCCUUAGGUAAUUAACAAGGUGCCAACAUUUCUACUUUGUAA